UACGGAAGGCAGCAGUGGGGAAUAUUGCACAAUGGGCGAAAGCCUGAUGCAGCUAUGCCGCGUGUAUGAAGAAGGCCUUAGGGUUGUAAAGUACUUUCAUCGGGGAGGAAAAAACAAAACUAAUAAUUUUAUUUCUUGACGUUACCCGAAAAAGAAGCACCGGCUAACUCCGUGCCAGCAGCCGCGGUAAUACGGAGGGUGCUAGCGUUAAUCGGAAUUACUGGGCGUAAAGGGCACGCAGGCGGUUAAUUAAGUUGGAUGUGAAAUCCCCGGGCUUAACCUGGGAAUGGCAUUCAAGACUGGUUAGCUAGAGUCUUGUAGAGGGGGUAGAAUUCCAUGUGUAGCGGUGAAAUGCGUAGAGAUGUGGAGGAAUACCGGUGGCGAAGGCGGCCCCUGGACAAAGACUGACGCUCAUGUGCGAAAGCGUGGGGAGCAAACAGGGAUUAGAUACC
This 452-nucleotide ribosomal RNA is filed under the name uncultured bacterium. Its description in RNAcentral is "bacterial SSU rRNA". It matches the Rfam family "Bacterial small subunit ribosomal RNA", at positions 340 to 786 of the family's 1533-position model. The record is from RNAcentral.